Long non-coding RNA from Pistacia vera, 385 nucleotides. RefSeq lists it as uncharacterized. The transcript is spliced from 3 exons. NCBI's taxonomy places the organism in Eukaryota, Viridiplantae, Streptophyta, Magnoliopsida, Sapindales, Anacardiaceae. The record is from RefSeq and is a predicted model, not a curated record.
GUUCUUUGGUGUUUUCUAUUUUAUCUCUGGAUCUGAUUCAGAUCUGUGAAAUUUCCUAUUGGAUCUUUAAAAUUUUGGCUGCUAUUUUAAUUUUUUUUUUUUUUUAAAUUGUUUUUGGUUAUAUAUGUGUUUUACCUGGGCGUCAGUAAUGUACGGGAUCUUUCUAUACAUCAAUUGCUCCGCUGUUCACUGGAGUCUCGGUGUACACAUCAGCUUCGUUAGAUGUGUUUUACCUGGGCGUCAGUAAUGUACUGGAUCUUUCUAUGCAUCGAUUGCUCCACUGUUCACCGGAGUCUCGGUAUACACAUCAACUUUGUUAGGAUUGAGUACUGGUGGCCUAUUUCAGCUCAAAAUUUUCAACUUCCACAGUAGGCGAAUCCAAGGU